This 848-nucleotide ribosomal RNA is filed under the name Pseudomonas palleroniana. Its description in RNAcentral is "bacterial SSU rRNA". It matches the Rfam family "Bacterial small subunit ribosomal RNA", at positions 24 to 868 of the family's 1533-position model. Lineage: Bacteria; Pseudomonadati; Pseudomonadota; Gammaproteobacteria; Pseudomonadales; Pseudomonadaceae. The record is from RNAcentral.
UCAGAUUGAACGCUGGCGGCAGGCCUAACACAUGCAAGUCGAGCGGUAGAGAGAAGCUUGCUUCUCUUGAGAGCGGCGGACGGGUGAGUAAUGCCUAGGAAUCUGCCUGGUAGUGGGGGAUAACGUUCGGAAACGGACGCUAAUACCGCAUACGUCCUACGGGAGAAAGCAGGGGACCUUCGGGCCUUGCGCUAUCAGAUGAGCCUAGGUCGGAUUAGCUAGUUGGUGAGGUAAUGGCUCACCAAGGCGACGAUCCGUAACUGGUCUGAGAGGAUGAUCAGUCACACUGGAACUGAGACACGGUCCAGACUCCUACGGGAGGCAGCAGUGGGGAAUAUUGGACAAUGGGCGAAAGCCUGAUCCAGCCAUGCCGCGUGUGUGAAGAAGGUCUUCGGAUUGUAAAGCACUUUAAGUUGGGAGGAAGGGCAGUUGCCUAAUACGUAACUGUUUUGACGUUACCGACAGAAUAAGCACCGGCUAACUCUGUGCCAGCAGCCGCGGUAAUACAGAGGGUGCAAGCGUUAAUCGGAAUUACUGGGCGUAAAGCGCGCGUAGGUGGUUUGUUAAGUUGGAUGUGAAAUCCCCGGGCUCAACCUGGGAACUGCAUUCAAAACUGACUGACUAGAGUAUGGUAGAGGGUGGUGGAAUUUCCUGUGUAGCGGUGAAAUGCGUAGAUAUAGGAAGGAACACCAGUGGCGAAGGCGACCACCUGGACUGAUACUGACACUGAGGUGCGAAAGCGUGGGGAGCAAACAGGAUUAGAUACCCUGGUAGUCCACGCCGUAAACGAUGUCAACUAGCCGUUGGAAGCCUUGAGCUUUUAGUGGCGCAGCUAACGCAUUAAGUGA